CGUAACAGGUCUCCGUAGGUGAACCUGCGGNNNGAUCAUUACAAGAACGCCCGGGCUUCGGCCUGGUUAUUCAUAACCCUUUGUUGUCCGACUCUGUUGCCUCCGGGGCAACCCUGCCUUCGGGCGGGGGCUCCGGGUGGACACUUCAAACUCUUGCGUAACUUUGCAGUCUGAGUAAACUUAAUUAAUAAAUUAAAACUUUUAACAACGGAUCUCUUGGUUCUGGCAUCGAUGAAGAACGCAGCGAAAUGCGAUAAGUAAUGUGAAUUGCAGAAUUCAGUGAAUCAUCGAAUCUUUGAACGCACAUUGCGCCCCCUGGUAUUCCGGGGGGCAUGCCUGUUCGAGCGUCAUUUCACCACUCAAGCCUCGCUUGGUAUUGGGCAACGCGGUCCGCCGCGUGCCUCAAAUCGUCCGGCUGGGUCUUCUGUCCCCUAAGCGUUGUGGAAACUAUUCGCUAAAGGGUGUUCGGGAGGCUACGCCGUAAAACAACCCCAUUUCUAAGGUUGACCUCGGAUCAGGUAGGGAUACCCGCUGAACUUAAGCAUAUCA
RNAcentral lists this ribosomal RNA (549 nucleotides) under uncultured fungus. RNAcentral describes it as "eukaryotic LSU rRNA". The stretch from base 197 to 350 matches the Rfam family "5.8S ribosomal RNA". Lineage: Eukaryota; Fungi. The record is from RNAcentral.